CGGAACGUGGCGCAGCGGCAGCGUGCCCGCUUUGGAAGCGGGGGGUCGUGGGUUCGAGUCCCACCGUUCCGA
This 72-nucleotide transfer RNA is filed under the name Enhygromyxa salina. RNAcentral's name for it is "tRNA-Pro". It matches the Rfam family "tRNA". Rfam says of the family: Transfer RNA (tRNA) molecules are approximately 80 nucleotides in length. Their secondary structure includes four short double-helical elements and three loops (D, anti-codon, and T loops). The record is from RNAcentral. Lineage: Bacteria; Pseudomonadati; Myxococcota; Nannocystales; Nannocystaceae.